CCUACGGGAGGCAGCAGUGAGGAAUAUUGCUCACUGGGCGCGAGCCUGAACCAGCCAAGUAGCGUGAAGGAUGACUGCCCUACGGUUUGUAACCUUCUUUUAUAAAGGAAUAAAUUACGGCACGUGUGCCUUUUUGUCUGUACUUUAUGAAUCAGGCUCGGCUAACUCCGUGCCAGCAGCCGCGGUAAUACGGAGGAUCCGAGCGUUAUCCGGAUUUAUUGGGUUUAAAGGGAGCGUAGAUGGGUUGUUAAGUCAGAUGUGAAAGUUUGCGGCUCAACCGUAAAAUUGCAAUUGAUACUGGCAGCCUUGAGUACAGUGGAGGUAGGCGGAAUUCGUGGUGUAGGGGUGAAAUGCUUAGAGAUCACGAAGAACUCCGAUUGCGAAGGCAGCCUACUAAACUGCCACUGACAUUGAUGCUCGAAAGUGUGGGUAUCAAACAGGAUCAGAUACCCGAGUAGUC
Molecule: ribosomal RNA, 460 nt
Filed under: uncultured bacterium
Lineage: Bacteria
Description: partial 16S ribosomal RNA
Rfam family: Bacterial small subunit ribosomal RNA
Source: RNAcentral